CCUACGGGAGGCAGCAGUGAGGAAUAUUGGUCAAUGGACGCAAGUCUGAACCAGCCAUGCCGCGUGAAGGAUGAAGGCGUUUGCGUUGUAAACUUCUUUUAUCAGGGAAGCGGUACCUGAGGAAUAAGCACCGGCUAACUCCGUGCCAGCAGCCGCGGUAAUACGGAGGGUGCAAGCGUUAUCCGGAUUUACUGGGUUUAAAGGGUGUGUAGGCGGGCCUUUAAGUCCGUGGUGAAAUACCAGUGCUUAACACUGGAACUGCCAUGGAUACUAUUGGUCUUGAAUGUUGAUGAGGUGGGCGGAAUGUAUCAUGUAGCGGUGAAAUGCUUAGAUAUGAUACAGAACACCGAUUGCGAAGGCAGCUCACUAAACAACAUUGACGCUGAGGCACGAAAGCGUGGGGAUCAAACAGGAUUAGAUACCCUUGUAGUC
RNAcentral lists this ribosomal RNA (432 nucleotides) under uncultured bacterium. Its description in RNAcentral is "partial 16S ribosomal RNA". It matches the Rfam family "Bacterial small subunit ribosomal RNA", at positions 338 to 795 of the family's 1533-position model. The record is from RNAcentral.